RNAcentral lists this unclassified non-coding RNA (569 nucleotides) under Hevea brasiliensis (rubber tree). Lineage: Eukaryota; Viridiplantae; Streptophyta; Magnoliopsida; Malpighiales; Euphorbiaceae. The record is from RNAcentral.
GAAUCGGGACUCCAGAGCUUCUAUAAAAGCUUCCUGCUCUGCCACGUCUUCUUCGAUUAUGGCAUAAUAAAUGCCCACUCCCCUCCCCGCAAUGGAUUUUAGCAAAGGACUAAAGUAACUCAACAUCUUCAAAACCAGGGAAAGAAAAGUUUCAUUUCUUAAAUUGUUCAUGGAAAAUUUUCAAGAAAGACAAAAUAAAAUCCGAGUAUGAGUUCCAAAUCAAGGCCUGGGACCAAAUAGAAUUCGCUCGAGCUCACACAAUUAGGAGUCAGCAGCGAGUUCAAGCACUGGCCGGAGAUCAGGAUCAAAUGUACCUGCAACUCCAGAUUAUAAAACGGAUUUAUAGGUUCGUGUAUCAGUGAAAAGCCAAACACUGAGGGCGAGAGGGGAGAGGGGUUUCCCCCUGCCCUUUUCCUAACAUACAGCCGUGAUAACAGCUGAUAAGCCCUAUACUCCUAUCCCCAAGGGAGCUAAGAAUCUGCAAGACAUCAACAUGUAUGCUAAAUCUCCAAAUGAUUCAGCAACUCAUCCCCAAAACCAGGUACAAUCAGUCUGAGCUUCGCCAAUCA